RNAcentral lists this ribosomal RNA (450 nucleotides) under uncultured bacterium. Its description in RNAcentral is "bacterial SSU rRNA". It matches the Rfam family "Bacterial small subunit ribosomal RNA", at positions 62 to 507 of the family's 1533-position model. The record is from RNAcentral.
UCGAGCGGUAGAGAGAAGCUUGCUUCUCUUGAGAGCGGCGGACGGGUGAGUAAUGCCUAGGAAUCUGCCUGGUAGUGGGGGAUAACGUUCGGAAACGGACGCUAAUACCGCAUACGUCCUACGGGAGAAAGCAGGGGACCUUCGGGCCUUACGCUAUCAGAUGAGCCUAGGUCGGAUUAGCUAGUUGGUGGGGUAAUGGCUCACCAAGGCGACGAUCCGUAACUGGUCUGAGAGGAUGAUCAGUCACACUGGAACUGAGACACGGUCCAGACUCCUACGGGAGGCAGCAGUGGGGAAUAUUGGACAAUGGGCGAAAGCCUGAUCCAGCCAUGCCGCGUGUGUGAAGAAGGUCUUCGGAUUGUAAAGCACUUUAAGUUGGGAGGAAGGGUUGUAGAUUAAUACUCUGCAAUUUUGACGUUACCGACAGAAUUAGCACCGGCUAACUCUGUG